Podarcis lilfordi (Lilford's wall lizard) is the source of this 6046-nucleotide non-coding RNA. Lineage: Eukaryota; Metazoa; Chordata; Lepidosauria; Squamata; Lacertidae. The record is from the annotation of a GenBank genome assembly.
AAUUUCAGCAAAAACAGAGUCAAAAUCCUCACACUUUCCCAUCAAUGGACCUUGUCAACGGGUUUCACACACGGCAGGAGAUAUACCAGCUGCAGAAUACAGCCCCAACCAAUUGUGGUGACUAUGCAUUUCUGUUUGUGGUAAAGUAUUGUUAAGGACCUGUUUCUGCUAGAUACAGAAAAGGCGAGCUUGUCUCAACGGAAGUUAUUCCCCCUCCUGCCUUCAUGUAGCCUUCUGUAAGCAGUGUUCCAAAACCAUGGAAAUGCAGAUUUUGGGUGGCUGAAGAAACUGAGUAAUAUCAUUCCUGAGAGCAAUCAGUAGUUUCCUUUCACUUUUAAGUAAUUACUGGGCAGUGGCAGACUUUGGCCUUUCGAAUUUCAGCAGUGCCCUGUGCAAUGCCAAAAUUUGCGCCACCACCUCUCACCUUCCAUUGUACAUCAAUUUUGCGGUACCCUCUUAGUUCAGCACCGAGUAUGGGAAAACUGGCUAUGUUCCCCUAAAUCCUCCUCUGUACUGAGCCACUGAGCAGAAAGAAGUUUUCAAUUUCAAGUUUGUGUUUUCCUAACCACAUUUCUGAUGUCAAACUGAGCCCACAUCUACCAAGGUACCAGCAAGCAACUGAUUAAAAUGGAAAGCCAUUGAUCAGGGGCUCCCAAACUUUGGUAUGUGGAUCACUAGUGAGUGGUCCAUGAUAUAUAUUUUUGAUAUUUUUUAAUUAUUUUUUCUCAUAACAAAUAUCCAAUAUCAUUACUUAACAUUCAUUUUCCAAUUUCCUCCCUCCCUGUGACUUCCCCCAACUUCCAUUUCUGGUUUAUAACAUCAAAUGUUACAUUCUGCUGUUUGUACAUAAUACUAUGUUAUCACCUGUUAUAUUUCUUGUUCUCUGUAAAUGUUUAUUUAACUCCUGCCAAUGAGUCCAUUUUUUUUUGUUUCCGCAAAUAAGUUGUAAAAGAUUCCCAUUCUUUUCCGAAGUCACUAUUGUCCUUUUCACACAUUUUAUCUGUUAACUUUGCUAACUCUGCAUAGUUCACCAACUUUUCUUGCCAUUGUUCUUUUGAUGAUCUUUCUCCAGUCUUCCAAUUCUGUGCUAUUAAAAUUCUUCCUGCUGUUGUAGCAUACAUAAAUAAUGUCCAAUUUUCUUUCAGGAAUUCUUGUCCUAAAAUACCCAAGAGAAAGACUUCUGGCUUUUUUAACAAAGGUUAUUUUAAACAUUUUUUUCAGUUCAUUGUAUAUCAUUUCCCCCAAAAUUUUUAUGAUCUUGCAAUCCCACCACAUAUGGUAAAAUGUACCUUCCCCUUCUUUACAUCUCAAACAAUUCUUUUGUUCUGUUUUAUACAUUUUUGCCAGUUUUAAUGGAGUAAUAUAUCACCUAUACAUCAUUUUCAUGUAAUUCUCUUUCAACAAUAUGCAAUCUGUAAAUUUCAAAUUCACUUUCCAAAGCUUUAUGCAAUUGUAUGUUGUGACCUAAAUCCUGUGCCCACUUAAUCAUUACUGAUUUGACUUCCUCAUCUUUAGUUUCCCAUUCCAACAGAAUAUUAUACGCCUUCUUUAAUAAUUUGGAAUUAUCAUCUAUGAUAUCCUUUUGGAAUUUAGAAACUGUGUAAGUGAAUCCUCUCUUAUUAUCUUCUUUAAAGAUUUCAUUUAAUUGCCUGUAGUGCAACCAGCUCUGAAAGUGUUCCUUUAUCUCAUCAUAAUCUUUCAGUUUCAACUUUCCUUCUUGUUCUAUUAGUAAAUCUCUAUAUGUUGGCCAUGUUCCUUUCAUUUGUUAACGUUUUAAAUGAUAAUGCGUCAAUGGGUGAGAGCCACCACGGGGUUUUGGAUUCCAAUGAUUCGAGUGGUCCAUGAUCUUAACUCAGGUGGUCCAUGGCAUGCCUGUGGAUUUGUGGUUGGAGACGGGAGACAUCCGUUGCAUCCAUACUGGUUUCUAAUUGUAUUUUUUUAUUGCUUCUUUAAUCUCUUGCAGUUUUGUCUCUAUUACACUUUGAAAUAUAUGGAAUUACAAUUGCUACGACAGGCAAUAAAUACAUAAACAUGAAGUGGUCCACCAAGACCCUUAGCAUUUUUCACAUGGUUCAAGGAGGGGAAAAGUUUGGGGUCCCCUGCCAUAAAUGACUCUUAAAACUUGUGGGGUGUGCUGAAAUUGACAGAGAGGUCCAGGGGUGAUGGUGGCGGCAGACAUAUCAAAAGCAAUUGAUAAAAAGCACUCCUAACCCAUCACUGCUGUCUGAGCAUCCAAGACCACAGGGAGAUGAAGUACCACUCCUAAAUUGUACACUUGACUUUUCAAAGAAAUUGUGAUCCUGUCCCAGAAAGGUUUAUGUACCUCUGCCAGAUUACAUAGGUCUCCUGUCUGAAGUCCUGUCUGAAUUCAAUUUCAGUUUGUUUAUUUAUUUACGAUCUUCCAAUUUAGAUUUUUACUGAAUUUUUUUAAAAAAAUUAUAUAUUAGCUUCAACUUUGAUAUUAAUUCGCUUUGGCAUUUUGACUUCCAACCCUUACUUCUGUGCUGUUUUUGUUCCCACCCUUAUUCCUACUGCAUUAUACAGUACAUUAUACAUUUCUCCAAGACAUCUCCUCUGUUACAUUUAUUAGCAUUUCAGCUUAUUCAGACUCACUCAGUUUAUCACUGGUUAGGUCACCAACCGAUGCACUCAGAUGAUAUGUACAAAAAAUUAAAUCUAGAACUUGGUGUCAUCAGUCUCUCCCAUCAAGGUACACGAAAUAAAUUCGGAGGCAUGAUAGCACCUUGCAGUAGUCCAUAGAGCCAUUCCCCACAAGGAACAAAAGAGUCUUAGCACCAGCAAGGGCCUUCUCUCUGUUGACAUCCUAACUGCAUCUGGCAGCAAUUCCUUUUCUUUGUUAGUUUUGGUAUCAGCUAGAAACAUGGUUUGUUCGGUGUGUGUUUUUAGCUGCUCAGUCCAGGUACAUUUUAAAGGUUUUUGGAUAGCAUUUCUUUCUUUCAUUUGCUCUCUUAGUUGUUGCCUUUUGAAAUUGUUGUAUUUUAAAUGGAAUGUCAUUGUAGCCUGCGAUCCUUUAUGAUGAAAGGUGGGUUAGAUAUGUUGUUGCAUAUAAAUGAAUAAACUUCUAGUACCAACCAGAAACUAAGCACUUAAACAUCUCUGUGUUUACUCAGAAACAAGCCCUGCUAUAUUCCGUGGGGCUUAAUCCCUACUAACAGUACUAUCUUAUGUUGUUGUAUUCAGAAGCAAGGACUUACUCCUAAAUAAGUGUUAUAAGACUGCACCCCCUGGCACUCAAGAUGUCAUGACUAAUGAUGAUGAAAAAUGCCCCACAGAUGUCCAGGAGUAACAAAUCCUAUCAGUUUCUGGAUGGUUACUGUCUACAAAUCCAUGAGUUUUUAAGUCCACAUCACUGACCAUAUCGGGCAACACUGCAGAAUUAUACUUGGGAGGAAAGGCCUUGAUGUAAUGCAGGCAAUCAUUAGAAUCCUACAGAUCCAUCUGAUAAUGACUACAGUGGUACCUUGGUUCCUGAACGGCUUAGUUGUCGAACAAAUUGGCUCCCGAAUGCUGCAAACCUGGAAGUAAGUGUUCCGGUUUGCGAAUGUUUUCCAAAACCGAAUGUCCGAAGUGGCUUCUGCCUGAGUGCAGGAAGCUCCUGCAGCCAAUCGGAAGCUGCACCUUGGUUUUUGAACAGUUUCGGGAGUCAAACGUACUCCCAGAACAGAUUAAGUUUGAGAACUAAGGCUCCACUGUACAUCACUCCUUAUGCUUCAUUCGUUUAUGGAAUGUAGGCUUACAAACUUAUGAUAAUAAAUAUGUAAUAUCUUUGGAACUUUUCCCAAGUUCAGUUCUCUAUUUUCUUUCAGUACAUUUAUAUCCUACGUUUCUUCCAUCAUUGAAUUCAAAGUGCAUAUAUGGGAUUCUUUGAUGGUCUCCCAUGCAGGCACUGACCAGACCCAGACCUGCUUAACUUUGGCAUGGUGACGGCAUCGUGUGCCUUUGGGACCAUUCAGAACAAGUUUUUUUCUCUUCCUUCCUUUUCUCUGUAUAUGUAAGCAUACAUAAAAUCUAUAGUUUUCUGUCUGCACAUUUAGGAGUUGAGAUAUUCAGCUUUCAUUGGCACAGAACUCUAGUUGCUUCAGUGCAAGAUUUAUAUAUUUUAAGUACAGAGUAUAUGCCCAAUUCAAUUUCUGACCUUUUGCAUCCAGAGUUUUAUUUAGAACAAUUAGACAACUGAGAUUGGGGACACCCAGGUGACAAAUUGUAUUUCUAUGAUAAGUCGGGGUCUUCUUGCCAGCUGGCAGAGAGUAUUGUUGUUCUCCUGUCUAGGAAAAUGAAACCGAUGGGAAAGGGGAUGCAUGUGAUAGGAGCCCAGACAGCUCAUAUAAGUGAAUUUUGACUGCUAAAGACAACUCCUUUAGAUGGCUGUUCAAAGUGGAUGUUAUGCUUGCUUGUGCAUUGCACUGAUCCAAGCUGUCUCUGCACAGGUAUAAGUGUUUGUGUGAAAAAGUGUACACUUGCUGACUUUUAUAGCUCAGCUGUUGUGUAUAUAAGUGCACAGACCCUACACUUGUUGAAAGCUACAGGUGAACAGCUCAAUUGUUGUGUACAAAAGUUUAUACUGUAUUUGAAUGUAAUAUGUGGACAGUCCUUUUAAGUUCCUUUUAACUCAUUCCAUCAGCAAAAGGAUUUUCACUAGGGCAAUACAACUCCCCCACUUCCUCUGCAUGUGCCCGAAAUUUGUUCUAACCCUCCAGAGCAGAUUUGGAGAGGGCCCUGGACAAGUCUGAGGAGAGGUGGCAGAAAUCCUUGCCCUAAUGGAAGCAGUUAGUUGGAUGCCACCAUUGGUUUGCAAAAUUAUUAUUAGCUACCUGUUGCAAAAAAAGGGUGAGCUUAUGAGAAAGCCAUCUUUGGUUAUUGGGGCCUCUUGAAUAUUGUUUUUUAAGUCUUCACACUGUUUUGACACAGCUACUGGAGGAAAUUAAAAGUGAUAACUGAUUAUGCUUUGAUUUUACAUAAUCUACCUGGGGAAAGGUGCUGAGCCUGAGGUAUUUCAGAAAAAGGAGAAUAGAUUAUGAAAAGCAGGUGUGAGAAACUGAUUCUGCAGGAAGAUUAUAAGGGUUUAAAACACAGAGUGUGUAACACAAGCCGAUAUAUCACAAUGCCUAAUAGAGGGACUAACACCACAAUCCUAUGAAUUUGAAUUCAAUGGGUUUUGUCCCAAAAGUACUACUAUUGGUACCUCCCUAACUUGACUGGAGACCAUAUUCAAUAAACACAACUCCAUCACUGAGAAGGUCACUCACAACCUUUCUCACCUCUGAAGGGAGGGCUGUGUUCUUCAUCUAGCAGUACAAUUCAUAUUUCCUUUAGGUGGGCUGAGCCUGUAAUCUGUUCACACCGGCAUGCACAUCUCUAUGUCUCAGGCAAUGAAGGAGGUAUCAGCACAGGCUCUGAGCCAGACUGAUUGGUGGACACCUCGUUGAAGGCUGAGCCGGUGCUGGGAGUGAACUGGCACAGGAGUUGGAGGUGAGGUGAAACCCAGAGUGCCUGGGUCACAUGGGCGCAGAUGGGACAUACUGCUGGGACUCUCCCCAGGAUCCAAAUCCCCACCUGUUACCUCCUUCCUGGGUUGCUCCUCUGUUUCUCAUGACCCUUGACGCAGCCUAUCCCAACCAGCUUGGUCCCUCCCUGAGGAUGUCAAAGGGUAACCCUUCCAACUCCUCCCAUCCCUCAUCCUUAACCCUUCCAGCCCCUCAAAGGCAUCUCCUCAGGACUCAUGUCAAGGUGUCUAGAGAAGGGCCUCUACUGUAGAUCUUCAUGGCUAAGUCUUCCCAAUCUUUAUAAAUGGUACAGAAGGAUAUCAUGGUCAAUAAGCUGAAAAGCAACCGAGGGACCCACAAAAACCAAUAGGUCAUGAUCCUGCAUCUCUCAGGGCAAGUUGCCAACUAGGGCAGUCUUGGACCUUGGAUCAUGGACCUUAUCCUGAAACCAGAUUAAAACACACCCAGGUAAUCUAUCACAUCCCAAACUGCCUGAAGAUAUACCAAUGUCUGCUUGACCAAUUUGGCCAGGAAUGGCAAAU